This 923-nucleotide long non-coding RNA is filed under the name Cyanistes caeruleus (blue tit). Its description in RNAcentral is "lncRNA (ENSCCEG00000021517.1)". The record is from RNAcentral. Lineage: Eukaryota; Metazoa; Chordata; Aves; Passeriformes; Paridae.
CUUAAGCCCAAGUGACGGUCCUGUAGCCUUCCUGCUGCUGCCAGUCUCAUAGGCUGGGUUUGAGAAAAACUGUGAAAAAACUUUUUUGCUGUGUUGGGAAGCAGAUGGGUUUGGUUCCAAGGGGCAGCGCAAGGAUUUCAGGCGCUGCCCCAGGCUGGAAGCCUGUCUCACUGUCUAGCUGGGAAAAAAGAGAUUUAUGUUCCAUGGAAUCCUUUGCAAACUGCAACUGUUAGUUGGCUCUUGCUGUAAUUGAUGGACACUGCCAGUUGCUUAGACAGAUGGGAAUUAAUACUGGUGUUCCCAUUAGAACUCGCCAUCACAGUCACGUUGGCUUUGGUCUCCUGCAGUGGGUUGAUGUGUGCAAGAGAGUACGCGAGGAAGGAGCGAGCAUGGCUCCUGCCUGCAGCACUUGCCUUCCAGGGUACUGGAGCCAUCCAUCCAGCACAGAGCAGAUGAGCUACUUGCCAGCAGCUUGCAAAACACAUGGCUUUGAGAUGGUGAGGAAAAUGCUUCUUUGCUGGAUGCUGAGAGAUUGCAGUGAGUAGGACUCUGAUCCGCAGAGGUGUCUGUGAGCUGUAGAUACAGCUUCUGUGGAUUGGAGAUGCACUGGAGCAGCUGAUGUUGAGAACUCUAUCAAGGAACUGCAAAAGCACUUGGUAAUUCAGCCUCAAAACCUAGCAUGAGACAGCUUUUUGAACAUAUAUGUACAUUUGUAAACCUGCAUUUUCUAUGUAUUAAAACAUCUUUGUUUUCUUCUGAAAGCUGUGUAGAGCAGCUGAGCACUCUAUGUGCUGCUUUCCACACUGAGUUUUUCCUGCAGUGCCUUCUGAACUCUUGUUGGCAUGAGGGUAGGCCGGAGUAACAUCUACAGCCCAUGACAGCAGCAAAAUGAGGCUAACAAAUAUCCUUCUGAGGAUGCAGCG